RNAcentral lists this ribosomal RNA (468 nucleotides) under uncultured bacterium. RNAcentral's name for it is "partial 16S ribosomal RNA". It matches the Rfam family "Bacterial small subunit ribosomal RNA", at positions 28 to 507 of the family's 1533-position model. The record is from RNAcentral.
GACGAACGCUGGCGGCGUGCUUAACACAUGCAAGUCGAACGGAAAGGCCCUGCUUUUGUGGGGUGCUCGAGUGGCGAACGGGUGAGUAACACGUGAGUAACCUUCCCUUGACUUUGGGAUAACUUCAGGAAACUGCGGCUAAUACCGGAUAGGAGCUCCUGCUGCAUGGUGGGGGUUGGAAAGUUUCGGCGGUUGGGGAUGGACUCGCGGCUUAUCAGCUUGUUGGUGGGGUAGUGGCUUACCAAGGCUUUGACGGGUAGCCGGCCUGAGAGGGUGACCGGCCACAUUGGGACUGAGAUACGGCCCAGACUCCUACGGGAGGCAGCAGUGGGGAAUAUUGCCCAAUGGGCGGAAGCCUGAUGCAGCAACGCCGCGUGCGGGAUGACGGCCUUCGUGUUGUAAACCGCUUUCGCCUGUGACGAAGCGUGAGUGACGGUAAUGGGUAAAGAAGCACCGGCUAACUACGUG